UGGGGAAUCUUCGGCAAUGGGCGAAAGCCUGACCGAGCCAUGCCGCGUGAGUGAUGAAGGCCUUAGGGUUGUAAAGCUCUUUCAUCAGGGAAGAUAAUGACGGUACCUGAAGAAGAAGCCCCGGCUAACUUCGUGCCAGCAGCCGCGGUAAUACGAAGGGGGCUAGCGUUGUUCGGAAUCACUGGGCGUAAAGCGCACGUAGGCGGAUUGUUAAGUCGGGGGUGAAAUCCCGGGGCUCAACCCCGGAACUGCCUCCGAUACUGGCAAUCUUGAGUUCGAGAGAGGUGAGUGGAAUUCCGAGUGUAGAGGUGAAAUUCGUAGAUAUUCGGAGGAACACCAGUGGCGAAGGCGGCUCACUGGCUCGAUACUGACGCUGAGGUGCGAAAGCGUGGGGAGCAAACAGGAUUAGAUACCCCCGUAGUCC
This 424-nucleotide ribosomal RNA is filed under the name uncultured prokaryote. Its description in RNAcentral is "bacterial SSU rRNA". It matches the Rfam family "Bacterial small subunit ribosomal RNA", at positions 355 to 796 of the family's 1533-position model. The record is from RNAcentral.